Molecule: ribosomal RNA, 490 nt
Filed under: uncultured bacterium
Lineage: Bacteria
Description: partial 16S ribosomal RNA
Rfam family: Bacterial small subunit ribosomal RNA
Source: RNAcentral
AGUGAACGCUGGCGGUAGGCCUAACACAUGCAAGUCGAACGGCAGCACAGUAAGAGCUUGCUCUUACGGGUGGCGAGUGGCGGACGGGUGAGGAAUACAUCGGACUCUACUUUUUCGUGGGGGAUAACGUAGGGAAACUUACGCUAAUACCGCAUACGACCUACGGGUGAAAGCAGGGGAUCUUCGGACCUUGUGCGAUUGAAUGAGCCGAUGUCGGAUUAGAUAGUUGGCGGGGUAAAGGCACACCAAGGCGACGAUCCGUAGCUGGUCUGAGAGGGUGAGCAGCCAUGAUGGGAUGGAGAGACGGACCGGACUCGUGCGAGAGGCAGCAGUGGGAAAGAAGGGAGAAGUGGCGCAAGCCGGAUCCAGCCAUACCGCGUGGGUGAAGAAGGCCGUGGGGUUGUAAAGCCCUUUCGGUGGGAAAGAAAAUCAGCAGGGUAAUACCCCGAUGGUCUGACGGUACGCAAAGAAUAGGCACCGUCUAUCCGCG